This 63-nucleotide non-coding RNA is filed under the name Spodoptera frugiperda (fall armyworm). The record is from RNAcentral. Lineage: Eukaryota; Metazoa; Arthropoda; Insecta; Lepidoptera; Noctuidae.
UGUCUUUUUCCGCUUUGCUGCUGAUAAUUAUGAUCAUGUCAACAGCAAAGCGAAAAGGUCUCC